RNAcentral lists this long non-coding RNA (2185 nucleotides) under Pan troglodytes (chimpanzee). RNAcentral describes it as "lincRNA". The record is from RNAcentral. Lineage: Eukaryota; Metazoa; Chordata; Mammalia; Primates; Hominidae.
ACUCAGUGCAGAGGGAAAUUGACACAGCCAUGAUGAGGCCUGGCUCACAAGAGCCAUAGUUACUGUAGGAGUUUCUGUGGCUGAAUAUGCUUAGCUAUUGAGGCAAGGACAUGUGCUGGAUGUGUAUGCAGUCUUUGAAGCUGGAGAGGCCUGUGUUGGAAACUGUGCUCUGUCCCAUACCAGUUCCCUGACCUUGGAACCCCUAGAGCAAUCAACAGACAGACAGAGCCCUGCUUCACGGAGCGUCUGCUCUCUCCUGGAGCUCACACGCUGAAACAGACAGGAUGCAACACCUCAGGGUUGUUGGAGAACCAGAGGCUGUUGCAAUUAGGAUGGCGAAUAGUGAAAAACAGUGUGGUUGAAUUGAACAUAAGCUGAAGGGCUAGACAUCAUGGCUUCAAUCCUUGUGGAGGAGCCUUCAUCUACCACAUAAGAAUUCCAGCAAACCCUGCAGCUAUCCUGAAGCUGUCAUGCUGGAAAGGCCAAUUGGGAGACCACAUAGAGACCGAGAGAGACUUCCAAGGACUCCAGCCAAUCCUGGGCCCCAGCAAUUUGAAUCUCCCAGCAAUGCCACCAUACAGGAGAGGGAGCAAAUACUCAGAAGAUUCAAGUGCCAGCUGCACGGGUUGAUACCUACAUAAAAGGCACUGGGUAUGUGCUCUUGGGUGAUUCCCCUAAUCAUAGUGGAAAGAUGGGAGCUGAGACUCUAAGACUGUAAGUAACUUGGCCAAGACUUAUGGCUUGAUACGGAUCUUCUAACUCAAAAUCGUGUGUUCUUCUCACUACCCAAUUAUUGCUUCACACUUCAUCAUUUUGCAGAUGACUGUGUGUUGAUGAGAGGCUGCCAUAAUUUGAAGUCAUUAGAACAAUGAAAUAGUAUCUGCACAUAUGCACAGUCCUCGGAUGCGAUGGGCAUUCCCUCAAGCUGCAGUCCAGCAGGAAAUUAUCAGUGCUAGAAGAGUUAAACUGUAAGCUGACUUGAGAUGUAGUAGUUCAAAACCCUUGCCAAUAACUCUUUAUUAUGUGCAGCAUUUUCAAAGCAAAAUUACAACAUGUUAGAAAGUGAAUGAGGCAAAUUACUGGUGAUGUCAUCAAAGUAAUAACUGCUAAUGACCCUUUUACUCCUGGGCAUUGCCUGAGGCCACAUUGACAGGAAGAGCAGAUCUGCUUUCUGUGAAUCCAUUUGGAUUAUCUAGAAGGCAUCCUGAAAGUUGUGAAAACAUAAUGUGAGAAAAUGAUAGAUCAAAGUGUGAAUACAAUGCAGGGACAACAGAAAGGAAAAUGUACUCUCUGUUGUGUAAUGGGUAUUUUGGCCAGAGUUUGAAGAGCUUUAUUAAGGAGUGACAACAAACAUAUAUUUAAAUGAUGACAUUUCCUCCAAAAUAAAAUAAACAAAUAAAUAUGUAGAAUUUAAAACUUUUUUGUUUCCAUGAAAGAGUUUGGAAUACCCUUCCAAACUCUCCUCAUUCAUUGAGACGAUGGAUCUCUUGUUACUAACCGAGACACUGAAUUUUGAGGUGACACAUCCUGUUCUGGAGGCAGAAACAUUGCCAGCACUUCUCCUUCAGCAGUUGAUUUAUUAUGUGACAGUUGGUGAUGAGUUUGUCCUCAUGAAGAUGCUCCCUCCCACGGACAGCCGUAUCAUACUUGAGGCCUCACUGCCACUUACCCAGGCCACUGCAAUAGCCCCUUCGUUGUCAUCUGGUUAAGAACUAAGGUUCUUCCUUAACCAGUCCAUUCCCCUGACUUCCACAGAGAAACCAUUCUAUAAACUGCUCAUCUGUCAGCUUUUCACCAGCUCAAAAACCAUUCAGAAUCCCACACCUUCUCCCACUGUCCACAGAAUAUUGUCAGUACUCCUUCUAAGAGAAUUCAAAGCAACAUGACAUCAUCCUAUAUUUCUAGCCUUACCUAAUAAAUAUUCAUACCGACUACCUACUGCUUUCUAUACAGGGAAACAUUUCAAGGCCUCCGAGGUCUGCUUGGAAUUCUCCCAUCCACCAUCAUUUCUGCUGCCUAUUAAUAUUCCACCUAUAAUUUAUUCACCAAAUAGUCCUUGAAUGAGGGCAAGGUGUCAGAUACCUCAGUUCCAAGGUCCUUUCUUUUGUGAAGCUUUUCUUGGAAGCUCCCCUUUCUGAGCUCACACUCUAAUUGGGACAUUAUUUAAUUAUAGUCUGUAUUGAAC